CCGCCCCCGCCCGCCCGCCGCCCGCAGGCCCCGCCCCCGCCUGCCCGCCUCCCGCAGGACGCAGCCCCGCGCGCCGCCGCCCGCCGCCCGCACGUGAUGUGUUGGAACGACAGCAAUCAUCGGCAGCAGAUCUAAGAGAGGAACGGGAGCAACACUCUUGGAUGGUUAUUGGUCCAAAAGUGGCGACAAGUUCUUCAAGGCAGGGGAAGCUAAGGGGCGCUUCUUUGGUCCAAUUGUUGAUUUGAUGCGUACUUUACGUGUUUUUCUUCAUUUGAGGUACUUCUAAACCAUAUUUUUGUUGUGAAACUUUAUUUCCGUAUAAUAUUUGAACAUAAUCUAGUAAUCCACCGCCA
This is a long non-coding RNA of Panicum hallii, 353 nucleotides long. RefSeq lists it as uncharacterized. The transcript has 3 exons. The record is from RefSeq and is a predicted model, not a curated record. NCBI's taxonomy places the organism in Eukaryota, Viridiplantae, Streptophyta, Magnoliopsida, Poales, Poaceae.